Molecule: long non-coding RNA, 1745 nt
Organism: Mustela putorius furo (domestic ferret)
Lineage: Eukaryota; Metazoa; Chordata; Mammalia; Carnivora; Mustelidae
Source: Ensembl
AGACAGAGAUUACAAGUAGUCAGAGAAGCAGGUAGAGAGAGAGGAGGAAGCAGGUUCCCUGCUAAGCAGAGAGCCCAAUGUGGGGCUCGAUCCCAGGAUCCUGAGACCAUGGCAGAAGCUUUAACCCACUGAGCCACCCAGGUGCCCACCGAUACCAGCUCUUAUAUGGUAGCUUCUUUUUUUCUUUUAUUAAUUAUAGACAAUUGCAUCAUAGAGAAGCAAAAAUGAUGUUGUCAAUUUCUGCAUUAUCCUUUUUGACUGCCUCGGUCAGGCGUCGACAAGGUUUACAUUUGUUUUGGCCGGCAGGAGAGGCCUAGAGCCUGGGUGGAGGCAGGGAAAUUUGCAGCAUCCAAGUCUCUUUCCAGAAUGAGGGUGGCUCGCGUCGCUAGUUCUAUUCUUGGACAUAAGAGCUGGAAAUUUGGGUGUGCACUGCCUUGUCAAGCCAGAAGCCGCAUGUACUGGAACGGGGUAUAACAACAACUUUGACCGUGCUCUGACUUACGACUGAAGAGAUGUUGGGCCUCUUUCCAGAUUUUAGGCCUGGAAAAUCUUCGCACUGCAAAGCCAAGCCAGAGUGUGAUGAUCGUUCUUUCUCACUGGCAGAACAGUCGUAUACUGAAUACGCGUCUUCAAACCACACGGUGAUAAUGCUUGAAAUUUAUAGGACUGGAAGUCUGAAGGUAGCCACUGACCCCUCUGCUUGAAGUCACUUUAGUGAAAGUGAAAGUAAGAGUAACUAAACGUCAAAAGUAACCAGCAACUUAGGGACUCACAUAACUGGAAGGGAAAUUCCCCCCUCUCCUUGUGUUUUGCUUUUUCAACCCAGGAACCAUAUACCCGUCACAUACUUUGUCUUGACAUUUCCGAUUGUCUUUUCUAAAUAACAUAAACAAAAAAGUUGAUUUGUCUCUUCCAUGUGGGGAUAUUGUGGAGGCAUUUCUGAGCAAUUGAUAUUGUAGUUAUUUGCUGGCAUUCGUGUUAGGAGCUAAACCUUAGGUGUAUGGGUGAAAAGUGAAAACUUCUAGCUUGGAUAACUUCACUCUCUGAGAAGGGUGUUCUGCGUCUAUUUCUCAGGGGUAAUAAACAUUAUGCCAGAAUAUCAGGUAACAUGCUGAUGAACUAGAAUAGAAGAAGCACAUAACUAGCAGCACAAUCAUCCAGUUGGUUCAGCCGUGAGAUUUAUUCACAGACGGGAGCAUUCUUGGGGAUAUUCUUAUUUUGGCACUUAAAAAAAAAAAAAAAAAGAGCUGUCCACUCUGUGGUACCUUGAUAUGUAUGGCAGCCUGCGCUGGUUACUUUUACGUGUCCACUUUGGCUGGACCACAAUGCCCUUGUAUUUGGUCAAACGUUAUCUCGAACAUUUCUGGGAAGGUGUUUUGGGGAUGAAUUAGCGUUUGAAUCCUCGGACUUUGAGUAACCUCCUAGUGUGGGUGGGCCUGGUCCAGCGAAGCCCUGCAGAGAACAAAGACUGACCUCCCCUGUGGGAGAAGGAGUUCUGCCAGUAGACUGUCUUUCGGUUGUAAUUCUUCCCCAGGUUUCCAGCCUGCUUAUCAACUCUGCAGAUUUCGAACUUGCGCCUCCACAGUCAUAUAAGCCAAUUCCUGAAAAUUGAUAUAUAAUCAAUCAGAGAGACACACACAUGUCUGUUGUUUCUGUUUCUCUGUGGAGAACCCUAAUAUACUGUCCUAACAAGCUAAUACUGUAUGUUUAUUAUAACUCAAGAAAGCUGUUUAAAAAAAAAUCAG